UUUACAACCACUUGUAGUUUC
Molecule: non-coding RNA, 21 nt
Organism: Caenorhabditis elegans
Lineage: Eukaryota; Metazoa; Nematoda; Chromadorea; Rhabditida; Rhabditidae
Source: Ensembl